This 253-nucleotide ribosomal RNA is filed under the name uncultured bacterium. Its description in RNAcentral is "partial 16S ribosomal RNA". It matches the Rfam family "Bacterial small subunit ribosomal RNA", at positions 524 to 776 of the family's 1533-position model. The record is from RNAcentral.
UACGGGGGGGGCAAGCGUUGUUCGGAAUUACUGGGCGUAAAGGGCUCGUAGGUGGCCUUCUAAGUCAGACGUGAAAUCCCUCGGCUCAACCGAGGAACUGCGUCUGAUACUGGGAGGCUUGAAUUCGGGAGAGGGACGUGGAAUUCCAGGUGUAGCGGUGAAAUGCGUAGAUAUCUGGAGGAACACCGGUGGCGAAGGCGGCGUCCUGGACCGAUAUUGACACUGAGGAGCGAAAGCCAGGGGAGCAAACGGG